AGUGAACGCUGGCGGUAGGCCUAACACAUGCAAGUCGAACGGCAGCACAGUAAGAGCUUGCUCUUACGGGUGGCGAGUGGCGGACGGGUGAGGAAUACAUCGGAAUCUACUUUUUCGUGGGGGAUAACGUAGGGAAACUUACGCUAAUACCGCAUACGGCCUACGGGUGAAAGCAGGGGAUCUUCGGACCUUGCGCGAUUGAAUGAGCCGAUGUCGGAUUAGCUAGUUGGCGGGGUAAGGGCCCACCAAGGCGACGAUCCGUAGCUGGUCUGAGAGGAUGAUCAGCCACACUGGAACUGAGACACGGUCCAGACUCCUACGGGAGGCAGCAGUGGGGAAUAUUGGACAAUGGGCGCAAGCCUGAUCCAGCCAUACCGCGUGGGUGAAGAAGGCCUUCGGGUUGUAAAGCCCUUUUGUUGGGAAAGAAAAGCAGCAGGUUAAUACCCCGCUGUUCUGACGGUACCCAAAGAAUAAGCACCGGCUAACUUCGUG
Molecule: ribosomal RNA, 492 nt
Filed under: uncultured bacterium
Lineage: Bacteria
Description: partial 16S ribosomal RNA
Rfam family: Bacterial small subunit ribosomal RNA
Source: RNAcentral